UUUUUAUAUACCUGCACUUUUUCUUUCAAAAUUCCAAAUUCAAAAAUAAUGUUAAAACUCAACUUUAAAAAAUUUUUGGCUAAAAAGUGCUGCUAUUGUCAAACACUUAGAAAUGGUUGCACUCUCAUUGGGGUUUUUCAUCUUGUACUUUCUAUCUGUAUCAUAUUGGAACAAAAUCACAUACAUUGGCCAGAAUUGCUCUAUGCAAUUAUGUGUAUAUCAGAAUCGCUCAUGAUUUGCGCCUCAGUCAUAUUACUCGUCUCUACAGUGAUGCAUAACCCAUUUUUCAUACUAAUUUUCGUUGGCGUCACUGCGCUGAGACUUUUGUUUUUAAUUACUUAUAAUAUCGUUUGUUUCACAGUCGAAAAGUAUAACUGUAAUUAUGGUAUUUCCAGUUUUAAUAUCUAUCUUUAUUGGCUGAUAUUCACAAUUUCCUCUUGUCUUUCUAUAUACUUCAUAUACAUUGCACUUUCUUACUAUGUGGAAAAAAAAGAACAAAAUAGGAUUAGUUCCAGGUAUUAACACAAGUGUAUUCUUGAGUAAGACAUUUGUAUGGAACUCUCAGAAAAUUGUAUUUAAUAAAUAAACAGAGUUGUGUUUU
Long non-coding RNA from Drosophila albomicans, 601 nucleotides. RefSeq lists it as uncharacterized. NCBI's taxonomy places the organism in Eukaryota, Metazoa, Arthropoda, Insecta, Diptera, Drosophilidae. The transcript is spliced from 3 exons. The record is from RefSeq and is a predicted model, not a curated record.